UCAGGGGGAAGAAUGGGCGCGGGAGGAAAUGCCUGCGUUUUGACGUACCUCCAAAGGAAGCACCGGCUAACUCUGUGCCAGCAGCCGCGGUAAUACAGAGGGUGCGAGCGUUGUUCGGAAUUACUGGGCGUAAAGCGCGCGCAGGCGGCUCUUUAAGUCUACCCGUGAAAUGCCGGAGCUCAACUCCGUGCACGCCGGGGGAUACUGGAGAGCUGGAGACGAGUAGAGGCAAGCGGAAUUCCGGGUGUAGCGGUGGAAUGCGUAGAGAUCCGGAAGAGCACCGGAGGCGAAGGCGGCUUGCUGGGCUUGGUCUGACGCUGAGGCGCGAAAGCGUGGGGAGCGAACAGGAUUAGAUACCCUGGUAGUCCACGCCGUAAACGAUGGGCACUAGACGCGGGUGGGAUCGACCCCUUCCGUGUCGCAGCUAACGCGCUAAGUGCCCCGCCUGGGGAGUACGGCCGCAAGGCUGAAACUCAAAGGAAUUGACGGGGGCCCGCACAAGCGGUGGAGCAUGUGGUUUAAUUCGACGCAACGCGCAGAACCUUACCAGCCCUUGACAUGGCGGCUACGGCCUCGUGAGAGCGGGGCUUCCCUUCGGGGGGCCGUUACAGGUGCUGCAUGGCUGUCGUCAGCUCGUGUCGUGAGAUGUUGGGUUAAGUCCCGCAACGAGCGCAACCCUUAUCUUCAGUUGCCAUCGGGUAGGGCCGGGCACUCUGGAGAGACCGCCGGUGACAAGCCGGAGGAAGGUGGGGAUGACGUCAAGUCCUCAUGGCCCUUAUGGGCUGGGCUACACACGUGCUACAAUGGCGGCGACAGAGGGCAGCGAAGGGGCGACCCCCAGCUAAUCCCGAAAAGCCGUCUCAGUUCGGAUCGCGGGC
RNAcentral lists this ribosomal RNA (878 nucleotides) under uncultured bacterium. RNAcentral describes it as "bacterial SSU rRNA". It matches the Rfam family "Bacterial small subunit ribosomal RNA", at positions 434 to 1305 of the family's 1533-position model. The record is from RNAcentral.